RNAcentral lists this long non-coding RNA (426 nucleotides) under Setaria italica (foxtail millet). RNAcentral's name for it is "long non-coding RNA (SITA_LNC001339)". Lineage: Eukaryota; Viridiplantae; Streptophyta; Magnoliopsida; Poales; Poaceae. The record is from RNAcentral.
CCGCCACCGUCACCUCCACCAGGUACUCGCCAGUCGCCAUCGCUUGCUUGCUCGCUGUCGCAGCCGCAAAAGGGAGUGCGCUGCCGCGCCGGCCACUGUGAGGGGCAGAGGGAGGUGGCUCCGCUAACGCCUUUUGGCCGGUCUCUAGGCUCGGCAGCUCACCUCCGCGAGUGAGGGAGGUGGCGGCUCGAUGGGGUGGGAGUGGGAGGGGAGCGGAGCCAGCGGUGGAAGAGAGGAGGAGGUAGCGGUGUUGGCAGUAGAGGGAGGUGGCGGCUCAGUGGGGUGGGAGUGGGAGGGAAGCGGCGCCGGUGGUAGAGGGAAGCGACGAUUAGUGGGAUGGGAGUGGGAUAGGAGCGGAGCCGGCGGUGGAUGAGAGGAGGGGGUAGCGGCACUGUCGGCGGAGGAGAGGAGAGGCGGAGUAACACC